GCUUUUAAAGGAUAACAGCUCAUCCAUUGGUCUUAGGAACCAAAAACUCUUGGUGCAAAUCCAAGUAAAGGCU
RNAcentral lists this transfer RNA (73 nucleotides) under Umbra pygmaea (eastern mudminnow). Its description in RNAcentral is "tRNA-Leu". It matches the Rfam family "tRNA". From Rfam's summary of the family: Transfer RNA (tRNA) molecules are approximately 80 nucleotides in length. Their secondary structure includes four short double-helical elements and three loops (D, anti-codon, and T loops). Lineage: Eukaryota; Metazoa; Chordata; Actinopteri; Esociformes; Umbridae. The record is from RNAcentral.